CAGAAAUACUGUUGCGUCAGUAAUUCGGACAUUUCAUCGAGAAAACAGGAUUGAGGGUCGAGGACACCAAGGUGGAAGGGGCCCUAUGUUUACUCGUGCACAAGAGGCCGCAAUUGUGAACAUGGUUUUGGCCAAUAAUUGUAUCAGGCUACGAGAAAUCCAAGCCAAUAUCAUCAAUGAUGACAAUAUUUUCAAUAACAUCCAACGAGUCUCUCUGUCAACAUUAGGUCGAUUCCUAAAGAAAAAUCAAAUAUACAUGAAGCAACUGUAUCGGGUACCAUUUGACAGAAAUUCAGAGAGAGUGAAACAUCUGCGCAAUGAGUAUGUGGAGAGAGUCUUGCAAAUGGAUGCUGCUGAAAUUCAACAUGAAGAGGGAGAAAUGUAAUAGGGCACUGGGCAAUCACUAAUGUGCCAGGGCAACGAGGGGGUAACAUCACCCUUUACGCUGCUAUCACACAAAAUGGGGUCCUCCACCACCAUGCAAAUCUGGGACCCUAUAAUGCAAAUCUGAUACUUGCAUUUCUUGACCGAUUGCUUGAGAUUGUCACCGCAUUACACCAAGUGGACCAGAUGCGGUACAUUGUCGUUUGGGACAAUGUCCCAUUCCAUCGGGCUGCUCUGGUCCAGAACUGGUUCCAUGAUCACCCUGAUUUUGAAGUUUUAUAUCUUCCCCCAUACUCCCCCUUCCUGAAUCCUAUAGAAGAAUUUUUUUCAGCGUGGCGUUGGAAGGUAUAUGACCUGCGGCCUUAUGACCGUUUGCCCCUCAUUCAGGCCAUGGAACAGGCAUGUGAUCUUAUUGAAGCAGCUUCAGUGCAGGGGUGGAUUCGUCACACAAGGCGAUUCUUCCAACGGUGCCUUGCCAAUGAAGACAUAGCCUGUGAUGUGGAUGAGAUUUUAUGGCCUGAUCGAGCCAGACGGAGAGACGAAUAGUUACAGUAUUCUUGUUGCUUUUACUGUAGCUUUCUUUCAUUUCUGUUUACUUUUACUUUUUCUUAAGAGUCAAAGUGUAUGUACUGUAAUUC
This is a long non-coding RNA of Perca fluviatilis (European perch), 1022 nucleotides long. RefSeq lists it as uncharacterized. Lineage: Eukaryota; Metazoa; Chordata; Actinopteri; Perciformes; Percidae. The record is from RefSeq and is a predicted model, not a curated record. The transcript has 3 exons.